GGUGAACGCUGGCGGCGUGCCUAACACAUGCAAGUCGAGCGGUGCAGUUUGAAGCUUCGGUGGAAAGCUGCAUAGCGGCGGACGGGUGAGGAAAACGUAGGAACGUGCCCCUUGGAGUUGGAUAGCCACGGGAAACUGUGGGUAAACCGACAUAGACUCGAGAGAGUAAAGGCCGAAAGGCGCCAAGGGAGCGGCCUGCGGCCCAUCAGGUAGUUGGUAGUGUAAAGGACUACCAAGCCGACGACGGGUAGCCGGUCUGAGAGGAUGGCCGGCCACAAGGGCACUGAGAUACGGGUCCCACUCCUACGGGAGGCAGCAGGCUAGAAAUUUGGGCAAUGGGGGAAACCCUGACCCAGUGACGCCGCGUGCAGGAAGGAGCCCUUCGGGGUGUAAACUGCUGUCGUGUAGGGAGAAGGGUACUAAGGUGAACAAUCUUAGUACUUGACGGUACUACAGGAGGAAGCCCAGGCUAACCUCGUG
RNAcentral lists this ribosomal RNA (480 nucleotides) under uncultured bacterium. Its description in RNAcentral is "bacterial SSU rRNA". It matches the Rfam family "Bacterial small subunit ribosomal RNA", at positions 28 to 507 of the family's 1533-position model. The record is from RNAcentral.